GAAAUGCGAUAAGUAAUGUGAAUUGCAGAAUUCAGUGAAUCAUCGAAUCUUUGAACGCACAUUGCGCCCUUUGGCAUUCCGAAGGGCAUGCCUGUUCGAGCGUCAUUACACCAAUCAAGCCUGGCUUGGUAUUGGGCGACGGGGGAUCGUUUACAACGCCCCCGCGCCCCAAAGACCCGACCGGCGGGACGGACCAAAUCUCAGCGUUGUGCAAACCAUUUGUCGCUGGCGAGACGGGACGGCCGUGCCGUGAAAACCCCCCUCUUUUCUGUAAUGUUGACCUCGGAUCAGGUAGGGAUACCCGCUGAACUUAAGC
RNAcentral lists this unclassified non-coding RNA (316 nucleotides) under plant metagenome. RNAcentral's name for it is "partial contains 5.8S ribosomal RNA, internal transcribed spacer 2, and large subunit ribosomal RNA". The stretch from base 1 to 105 matches the Rfam family "5.8S ribosomal RNA", at positions 50 to 154 of the family's 154-position model. The record is from RNAcentral.